Hirundo rustica (Barn swallow) is the source of this 335-nucleotide long non-coding RNA. RefSeq lists it as uncharacterized. The transcript is spliced from 3 exons. The record is from RefSeq and is a predicted model, not a curated record. NCBI's taxonomy places the organism in Eukaryota, Metazoa, Chordata, Aves, Passeriformes, Hirundinidae.
UAGCUUAAGCAGUGGGGUUUUGCUAACUUGACUCUUUCAGACUGAAAUUAAUUAGGGUGCUUGCCAACCUCCAACCCUUAGGCCAGCUGCUUGUGGGCUCUGUGUGCGUUCACAUCCUGAAGCACAAUUGAAAGGCCUGUUCCUCUCUUAGGUGCAUUGGCAGAUGGGUCAAUGAAAUAUUAGUGGGACACACCAGGUGGUUUUCUUCAGUAUUUGUGGUGUCUGUGCUUGAAGAGCUGCAGUAACAGAAGGCAACUAUCAGUAAUCCCAUAUGACCCUCAAGAAUCCACUAUGUCAAAGAUCAGUCUAUAUCCUAAGUAGCUGCUCAACUUUGU